GGUUAAGCGACUAAGCGUACACGGUGGAUGCCCUGGCAGUCAGAGGCGAUGAAGGACGUGCUAAUCUGCGAAAAGCGUCGGUAAGGUGAUAUGAACCGUUAUAACCGGCGAUGUCCGAAUGGGGAAACCCAGUGCAAUUCGUUGCACUAUCGUUAACUGAAUACAUAGGUUAACGAGGCGAACCGGGGGAACUGAAACAUCUAAGUACCCCGAGGAAAAGAAAUCAACCGAGAUUCCCCCAGUAGCGGCGAGCGAACGGGGAGCAGCCCAGAGUCUGAAUCAGCUUGUGUGUUAGUGGAACGGUCUGGAAAGUCCGACGGUACAGGGUGAUAGUCCCGUACACCAAAAUGCACAGGUUGUGAACUCGAAGAGUAGGGCGGGACACGUGGUAUCCUGUCUGAAUAUGGGGGGACCAUCCUCCAAGGCUAAAUACUCCUGACUGACCGAUAGUGAACCAGUACCGUGAGGGAAAGGCGAAAAGAACCCCGGCGAGGGGAGUGAAAAAGAACCUGAAACCGUGUACGUACAAGCAGUGGGAGCACCUUCGGGUGUGACUGCGUACCUUUUGUAUAAUGGGUCAGCGACUUAUAUUCUGUAGCAAGGUUAACCGUAUAGGGGAGCCGCAGGGAAACCGAGUCUUAACUGGGCGUUAAGUUGCAGGGUAUAGACCCGAAACCCGGUGAUCUAGCCAUGGGCAGGUUGAAGGUUGGGUAACACUAACUGGAGGACCGAACCGACUAAUGUUGAAAAAUUAGCGGAUGACUUGUGGCUGGGGGUGAAAGGCCAAUCAAACCGGGAGAUAGCUGGUUCUCCCCGAAAGCUAUUUAGGUAGCGCCUCGUGAAUUCAUCUUCGGGGUAGAGCACUGUUUCGGCUAGGGGGUCAUCCCGACUUACCAACCCGAUGCAAACUACGAAUACCGAAGAAUGUUAUCACGGGAGACACACGGCGGGUGCUAACGUCCGUCGUGAAGAGGGAAACAACCCAGACCGCCAGCUAAGGUCCCAAAGUCAUGGUUAAGUGGGAAACGAUGUGGGAAGGCACAGACAGCCAGGAUGUUGGCUUAGAAGCAGCCAUCAUUUAAAGAAAGCGUAAUAGCUCACUGGUCGAGUCGGCCUGCGCGGAAGAUGUAACGGGGCUAAACCAUGCACCGAAGCUGCGGCAGCGACACUAUGUGUUGUUGGGUAGGGGAGCGUUCUGUAAGCCUGCGAAGGUGUGCUGUGAGGCAUGCUGGAGGUAUCAGAAGUGCGAAUGCUGACAUAAGUAACGAUAAAGCGGGUGAAAAGCCCGCUCGCCGGAAGACCAAGGGUUCCUGUCCAACGUUAAUCGGGGCAGGGUGAGUCGACCCCUAAGGCGAGGCCGAAAGGCGUAGUCGAUGGGAAACAGGUUAAUAUUCCUGUACUUGGUGUUACUGCGAAGGGGGGACGGAGAAGGCUAUGUUAGCCGGGCGACGGUUGUCCCGGUUUAAGCAUGUAGGCUGAUUAUCCAGGCAAAUCCGGAUAAUCAAGGCUGAGGUGUGAUGACGAGGCACUACGGUGCUGAAGUAACAAAUGCCCUGCUUCCAGGAAAAGCCUCUAAGCAUCAGGUAACAUCAAAUCGUACCCCAAACCGACACAGGUGGUCAGGUAGAGAAUACCAAGGCGCUUGAGAGAACUCGGGUGAAGGAACUAGGCAAAAUGGUGCCGUAACUUCGGGAGAAGGCACGCUGGUGUGUAGGUGAAGCCCCUGCGGGUGGAGCUGAGACCAGUCGAAGAUACCAGCUGGCUGCAACUGUUUAUUAAAAACACAGCACUGUGCAAACACGAAAGUGGACGUAUACGGUGUGACGCCUGCCCGGUGCCGGAAGGUUAAUUGAUGGGGUUAUCCGUAAGGAGAAGCUCUUGAUCGAAGCCCCGGUAAACGGCGGCCGUAACUAUAACGGUCCUAAGGUAGCGAAAUUCCUUGUCGGGUAAGUUCCGACCUGCACGAAUGGCGUAAUGAUGGCCAGGCUGUCUCCACCCGAGACUCAGUGAAAUUGAACUCGCUGUGAAGAUGCAGUGUACCCGCGGCAAGACGGAAAGACCCCGUGAACCUUUACUAUAGCUUGACACUGAACAUUGAGCCUUGAUGUGUAGGAUAGGUGGGAGGCUUUGAAGCGUGGACGCCAGUCUGCGUGGAGCCAACCUUGAAAUACCACCCUUUAAUGUUUGAUGUUCUAACGUUGGCCCCUGACCGGGGUUGCGGACAGUGUCUGGUGGGUAGUUUGACUGGGGCGGUCUCCUCCCAAAGCGUAACGGAGGAGCACGAAGGUUAGCUAAUCCUGGUCGGACAUCAGGAGGUUAGUGCAAUGGCAUAAGCUAGCUUGACUGCGAGCGUGACGGCGCGAGCAGGUGCGAAAGCAGGUCAUAGUGAUCCGGUGGUUCUGAAUGGAAGGGCCAUCGCUCAACGGAUAAAAGGUACUCCGGGGAUAACAGGCUGAUACCGCCCAAGAGUUCAUAUCGACGGCGGUGUUUGGCACCUCGAUGUCGGCUCAUCACAUCCUGGGGCUGAAGUAGGUCCCAAGGGUAUGGCUGUUCGCCAUUUAAAGUGGUACGCGAGCUGGGUUUAGAACGUCGUGAGACAGUUCGGUCCCUAUCUGCCGUGGGCGCUGGAGAAUUGAGGGGGCUGCUCCUAGUACGAGAGGACCGGAGUGGACGCAUCACUGGUGUUCGGGUUGUCAUGCCAAUGGCACUGCCCGGUAGCUAAAUGCGGAAGAGAUAAGUGCUGAAAGCAUCUAAGCACGAAACUUGCCCCGAGAUGAGUUCUCCCUGAGACUUUAAGUCUCCUGAAGGAACGUUGAAGACGACGACGUUGAUAGGCCGGGUGUGUAAGCGCAGCGAUGCGUUGAGCUAACCGGUACUAAUGAACCGUGAGGCUUAACCUU
RNAcentral lists this ribosomal RNA (2900 nucleotides) under Klebsiella pneumoniae. RNAcentral describes it as "23S ribosomal RNA". It matches the Rfam family "Bacterial large subunit ribosomal RNA". The record is from RNAcentral. Lineage: Bacteria; Pseudomonadati; Pseudomonadota; Gammaproteobacteria; Enterobacterales; Enterobacteriaceae.